GGAUGUGAGGGCGAUCUGGCUGCGACAUCUGUCACCCCAUUGAUCGCCAGGGUUGAUUCGGCUGAUCUGGCUGGCUAGGCGGGUGUCCCCUUCCUCCCUCACCGCUCCAUGUGCGUCCCUCCCGAAGCUGCGCGCUCGGUGGAAGAGGACGACGUCCCAGGUAUAGAAGGAGUGUACCGAGGUCUCCAGUCUUCGGUCCCGGGUAUACGAUAGCUGCGCUCCCCUGCUAGAACCUCCAAACAAGCUCAAGGUCCAUUUGUAGGAGAACGUAGGGUAGUCAAGCUUCCAAGACUCCAGACACAUCCAAGUCAGGCGCUGCACGGGGCAGUCUGCCAUUCUUU
RNAcentral lists this small nuclear RNA (341 nucleotides) under Anolis carolinensis (green anole). Its description in RNAcentral is "7SK RNA". It matches the Rfam family "7SK RNA". Rfam says of the family: 7SK was discovered as an abundant small nuclear RNA in the mid-70s but a possible function has only recently been suggested. Two independent studies have found that 7SK RNA binds the CDK9/cyclin T complex (known as elongation factor P-TEFb). The record is from Rfam by way of RNAcentral. Lineage: Eukaryota; Metazoa; Chordata; Lepidosauria; Squamata; Anolidae.